CUAGCACUGAGAUUGAAGGAACCCGUUCGUGUGGACUGAGUAGAGACGUUGUCAUCGUUCAACGUUCGUGAUCGCUUCGUGGAUCUGCAUCAAAGGUUUUGAUCAUCACAAGAGAUCUGCACCAAAGGUUUCAACCGUCACAAGAGUGGUGCGAACAUGGGGCAAUGGCGGUAACAUUCUAGAUCGUGGUUUAGGACAGGGUGCUCCAUCAAUGUUGGCUGGUGAGGAAGAGCAUAUUGGUGCACUUGCAUCUGCAGCAUAACCGAUUGGCUUUCCAGGAGGGUCAUACAAUACGUCUCUUUUGGUAAAGUACGAGCAAUAUAUUACUUGACAUUUAUGCUUCAGUGAGAGAGAGGUCCGAAGAAAGAGUUGAAAACUGGACAUGGGUUGAAGUUGACAUCGAGGGUUCCACAAGCUCUUCCACCACGGAUGAAGAGUUGGAUUUCUAGGCAUGUUAUAUCUUCACUCUAGAGGACCUGUUUGACGAAGAUAGACACAAACCCGGUAUCAACGUUUGUAAAGAGAUGGCAUCUAGAGACAUCUUCAUUUCAUAUAUCGUUUGGUGAGAUGAGCAUUACUCUGGACGACGUCUCUUGUCUUCUUCACUUGUCCAUAAGGGGGGGGGUGUUAUGUAGCCCUCAAGAUGUCACUGAAGAGGCUGAUGUUGAACUUGCUGUUAAUUACUUAGAAGUGUCAAAGAGUGAGGCACUAGGACAUGUCCGUAGUUGCAAGAGUUCUUACUAUAAGUUGGAGUGAUUAUUCAAUUUAUUCAAAGACCGUAGAGCUGCUUCUAGAUGGGAUUAUGAGAUAAUAGUGUAUAUGCUAAUGUUGGUGGGUUCCAUAAUUUUUGCCGAUAAGACCUUUAUGCUUGUCGAGGCACGACAUCUCAUACCAUUUAUAUACUUGGAGAGAUGUUUGGGAUAUAGUUCGGAAGUAGCUGCUUUGGUUACCCUCUACAGAUAUCUCGGAGAUGCUUCUAUGUUCAGUUGCAAAU
Lathyrus oleraceus (garden pea) is the source of this 994-nucleotide long non-coding RNA. RefSeq lists it as uncharacterized. Lineage: Eukaryota; Viridiplantae; Streptophyta; Magnoliopsida; Fabales; Fabaceae. The record is from RefSeq and is a predicted model, not a curated record. The transcript is spliced from 3 exons.